Salvelinus sp. IW2-2015 is the source of this 132-nucleotide non-coding RNA. The record is from RefSeq and is a predicted model, not a curated record. Lineage: Eukaryota; Metazoa; Chordata; Actinopteri; Salmoniformes; Salmonidae.
GUAGUUGUUUAUUUAAACCCUGUGAGUUUACCUUACCGUAGUUGUUCAUUUAAACCCUGUGAGGUUACCUUACCGUGAGGUUACCUUACCGUAGUUGUUCAUUUAAACCCUGUGAGGUUACCUUACCGUAGU